This 497-nucleotide ribosomal RNA is filed under the name uncultured bacterium. Its description in RNAcentral is "partial 16S ribosomal RNA". It matches the Rfam family "Bacterial small subunit ribosomal RNA", at positions 28 to 507 of the family's 1533-position model. The record is from RNAcentral.
GAUGAACGCUGGCGGCGUGCCUAAUACAUGCAAGUCGAGCGAACAGACGAGGAGCUUGCUCCUUUGACGUUAGCGGCGGACGGGUGAGUAACACGUGGAUAACCUACCUAUAAGACUGGGAUAACUUCGGGAAACCGGAGCUAAUACCGGAUAACAUGUUGAACCGCAUGGUUCAACAGUGAAAGACGGUCUUGCUGUCACUUAUAGAUGGAUCCGCGCCGCAUUAGCUAGUUGGUAAGGUAACGGCUUACCAAGGCAACGAUGCGUAGCCGACCUGAGAGGGUGAUCGGCCACACUGGAACUGAGACACGGUCCAGACUCCUACGGGAGGCAGCAGUAGGGAAUCUUCCGCAAUGGGCGAAAGCCUGACGGAGCCACGCCGCGUGAGUGAAGAAGGUCUUCGGAUCGUAAAACUCUGUUAUUAGGGAAGAACAAAUGUGUAAGUAACUAUGCACGUCUUGACGGUACCUAAUCAGAAAGCCACGGCUAACUACGUG